This 338-nucleotide ribosomal RNA is filed under the name uncultured bacterium. RNAcentral's name for it is "bacterial SSU rRNA". It matches the Rfam family "Bacterial small subunit ribosomal RNA", at positions 29 to 369 of the family's 1533-position model. The record is from RNAcentral.
AUUGAACGCUGGCGGAAUGCUUUACACAUGCAAGUCGAGCGGCAGCGCGGGGGCAACCCUGGCGGCGAGCGGCGAACGGGUGAGUAAUAUAUCGGAACGUACCCGUCGUGGGGAGUAACACAGCGAAAGCUGUGCUAAUACCGCAUACGACCUGAGGGUGAAAGCGGGGAGUCGCAAGACCUCGCGCGAUGGGAGCGGCCGAUAUCGGAUUAGCUUGUUGGUGAGGUAAAGGCUCACCAAGGCGAUGAUCGGUAGCUGGUCUGAGAGGAUGAUCAGCCACACUGGGACUGAGACACGGCCCAGACUCCUACGGGAGGCAGCAGUGGGGAAUUUUGGAC